UUUAAAAUAAACAACUUAGAUAUAUUGACAGGACUUAAUGUACUUCGAAAGCAAAAUGUAGGAAAAAUGUCAAAAGUAAGAAAAGAUGUUGUAACUGAUAGGACAUCGCCUUUUCUUAUUGUGAAAAAUGACGAAGAAUGGACGCAAGAAAAAUCAUUACCUGACAACUUUGGCAAACAAGUUACCUGUGUAUUAAUUGUCGGCUAUGUUCGUGGUGGAACAACAAUGAUAUUGGAUACACUGGCGCAAACGAGUAGUAAUUUUUAUUUUUUCGAACCUAUACGAAAUCUAACAGAAAGUUCUUAUGCAAAAAUGCCCAUAACUUUUUAUAACGGAACAGUGAGAAAUAUUUUUAUGCACGGAAACCUACCCAGAGUACAAACCGAAAUGUUAAAUCACUGGUUCAACUGUGAUUUUACGAAAAUAAAUAUUGGAGACCUGAAGAAUAACCAUUUGAUACACUCACGUGCCACCAAGUCGUACUUUGCUUGUUUGCGAAAAUCACCAUAUCCAUUUUGUAUUAAAAUGAUGGAGAGCGUAUGUGUACCUAAGGCGAGAUGAAUAUUGAAAGUAGUCCGACAAAGAAUGAAAUCGAUAGAACACAUUUUGAGAAAAAGUGAUAAUCUUAAAAUUAUUUAUGUCGUUAGAGAUCCUAGAGCUCAAAUUCAUUCGUUAAUAAAAUCAGGACUGCUUGAUCAGAAG
Long non-coding RNA from Mytilus californianus (California mussel), 702 nucleotides. RefSeq lists it as uncharacterized. The transcript has 3 exons. NCBI's taxonomy places the organism in Eukaryota, Metazoa, Mollusca, Bivalvia, Mytilida, Mytilidae. The record is from RefSeq and is a predicted model, not a curated record.